CUGAGUAGUCUACAGGUCCUAGCCGACACAACGUCUCUGAUAUUCUCAGAGACCUAAAAGGACAUGGAUAUGAAGCCUCUGAUGAUUCUCCUCCUGCUAGCAGCUGUCACCACCAC
Molecule: long non-coding RNA, 116 nt
Organism: Oncorhynchus keta (chum salmon)
Lineage: Eukaryota; Metazoa; Chordata; Actinopteri; Salmoniformes; Salmonidae
Exons: 3
Source: RefSeq, a predicted model, not a curated record